ACAUACCGGAAGUGCCCUAGCGGCGGCGGAAGCGGAAGUACCACGGCGGUGGGGGCCGCGGGAAGCAUCGGUCGCAAUUUUCCCUCCCUCUCGACCACAAUAACAGACGAAGGGCCGGCGUAGGUACUUUGAAUUCAAAUAACCAAGAGGGGAGAUUUGCUCUUCUAUAUUGGAGAUAACGCAGCAGCGAUGGGUCCACGAAAGAAAAGUGUUAAAAGAUGUCUUAUGAAUAAUGAGAUCCCUGAGGAAACAGUAUCAGAGGAAACAAAAGAUUAUAUGAAUCAGCUUUCACAUGAAGUGCUUUGCCAUAUUUUUAGGUACCUCCCUCUGCAGGAUAUCAUGUGUAUGGAAUGUCUUUCCCGGAAGCUAAAGGAAGCAGUGACCCUGUACCUGAGAGUUGUGAGGGUUGUGGAUCUCUGUGCUGGGCGCUGGUGGGAAUACAUGCCAAGUGGCUUCACAGAUUCCAGUUUUCUGACACUAUUGAAGAAGAUGCCAGACGUCGAACAGCUAUAUGGCCUUCACCCUAGAUACCUUGAGAGGCGGAGGGUGCGUGGCCAUGAAGCUUUUAGCAUUCCAGGUGUUCUGGAAGCUUUGCAGGCAUGCCCAAACUUAGUGGGUGUGGAGACUUCUCAUUUGGAGUUGGUAGAAUCCAUUUGGACGUAUAUGCCUCAUGUUCAUAUUUUGGGGAAGUUUCGGAAUCGUAAUGGAGCAUUUCCAAUUCCUCCUGAAAAUAAACUGAAAAUUCCUAUAGGAGCAAAAAUUCAAACUUUGCAUUUAGUUGGGGUGAAUGUUCCUGAAAUUCCUUGUAUCCCAAUGUUAAGGCACCUUUAUAUGAAGUGGGUAAGACUCACUAAGCCACAGCCAUUCAAAGACUUUCUUUGCAUCAGCUUGAGAACUUUCGUCAUGAGGAACUGUGCAGGUCCCACAAACUCCUUGAAAUAUGUCCCUUUAGUAACAGGCCUGGCCUCUGCCCGAAACUUGGAACACUUAGAAAUGGUUCGAGUUCCUUUCCUUGGAGGUCUUAUCCAACAUGUAGUUGAAGACAGCUGGAGAUCAGGUGGUUUUAGAAAUUUGCACACCAUUGUUUUGGGAGCUUGCAAAAAUGCUCUUGAAGUAGACCUUGGUUACCUCAUUAUCACUGCUGCUCGUAGGUUACAUGAAGUUCGGAUCCAGCCUUCCCUAACCAAAGAUGGUGUCUUUUCUGCCCUAAAAAUGGCAGAGUUGGAGUUCCCCCAGUUUGAAACCCUUCAUCUGGGAUAUGUAGAUGAGUUUUUGCUGCAGAGCAGAAUGGCUAAUGCAGAUCUGGUGAAGUACGGUCUGGCCGAUGUGGUAGAAAAUCCUGGUAUUAUCACCGACAUAGGGAUGAAGGCAGUCAACGAAGUUUUUUCCUGUAUCAAAUAUCUGGCAAUUUAUAAUUGCCCCCAUCUACAUAAUCCAUACAAUUGGAUCUCAGAUCACUCAAGAUGGACACGAUUGGUUGAUAUCAACUUAGUGCGGUGCCAUGCUUUGAAGUUGGACUCCUUCGGCCAGUUUGUUGAAUUAUUGCCCAGCCUGGAGUUUAUUUCACUGGACCAGAUGUUUCGUGAACCACCCAAGGGCUGUGCUCGAGUUGGUCUAAGUGCAGGCACUGGAAUUGGGGUGUCUUCAGCCCUUGUCAGCAACCAGAACUCUAACAACGACAAUGAUAACAAUGCCCAGAAUAAUGCCAACAUCCAUGACAACAAUCAUCAUCCAGAUGACUCAGAUGAGGAGAAUGACUUCCGGCAGGAUCUACAACCAGGAGAGCAGCAGUUUGCAGCCGACGCAUUGAAUGAGAUGGAAGACAUGGUGCAAGAAGAUGGAGAGGUGAUGGCUGAGAGUGGACAUGAGACUCCAGCUCACGGUCAGGCAGUUCUUCCUGUGGAUGUUGAUGAGGAACAAGCAGGACCCAGUGGGCUUCAGCGUGUAGUAAAACCAACCCCAAUUACUGUUCAUGAUUCAGAGAGUGAUGAUGAGGAAGAUAGUCUAGAGCUCCAAGAAGUCUGGAUUCCUAAGAAUGGUACUCGGCGUUUCUCUGAGCGGGAAGAAAAAAAGAGAGAGUCAGAGCAGUCCAGGGAAUUGUCAGUAAGUGGAAAAGGCAAGACUCCACUUCGAAAGAGGUACAACUCCCAUCAGAUGGGCCAAUCGAAGCAGUUUCCCCUCGAGGAAAGCAGCUGUGAGAAAGGCUGUCAGGUCACCAGUGAGCAGAUCAAAGCCGAUAUGAAAGCAGCUAGGGAUAUUCCUGAAAAGAAAAAAAACAAGGAUGUGUAUCCCAGCUGCAGCAGCACCACCGCCAGCACAGUGGGAAACUCCAGCUCACUCAGCACUGCUUCUCAAAGCCCUGACUGUGUAAGGACGGUGAACAGCAGCGGAAAAGUGUCUGCUCCCCCGCUGGGUCAGAGGACUCUGAGGCCAUGGAGGAGGGAGAUGCAGAGAGUGCUGUCUGCCCCAGAUGCUGCUGUCACAGGCCCCAGGAAUCCCAAAGGAGAACUAGCAGGUGUUCUGAUGAGGAACGUCCUUCAACCAGCCGAGCCUGUGUUGUGAAUGGCCCGGAUGAGGUUGCGAAAACAAAGCCACGGCAUACUAUGAAGCGGAAGCGGACAGCAGAUAAGUCCACCAGUACCAGUGAUCCUGUGAUUGAGGAUGACCAUGUGCAGGUCCUUGUGUUAAAGUCCAAAAAUCUUGUUGGAGUCACUAUGACCAACUGUGGAAUCACAGAUCUGGUGCUAAAAGACUGUCCCAAGAUGAUGUUCAUCCAUGCUACCAGGUGCAGGGUACUGAAGCAUUUAAAAGUAGAAAAUGCACCACUUGUAAACCGAUUUGACUAUGCACAAUGCAAGAAACUGAACAUGGAUCAGGUACUAGACCAGAUACUACGGAUUCCUCCUGAUAGAAACCGCAUCAUAUACCUACGCCCAAUGCAGCAGGUGGACACGCUGACAUUGGAGCAGAAGCUGUUCAGUGGCCCCUACCCCUACCACAUCUGUAUCAUCCAUGAGUUCAGUAACCCUCCCAAUGUGCGGAACAAGGUGCGCAUUCGCAGCUGGAUGGACACCAUAGCAAACAUCAAUCAAGAGCUCAUUAAGUAUGAAUUCUUCCCCGAAGCCUCACGAACUGAAGAUGACUUGAAGAAGUACCCCAAGUACCCCUGGGGCCGAGACAUCUAUACUUUAGAAGGGGUUGUGGAUGGCGCUCCGUAUUCCAUGAUUUCUGACUUCCCCUGGUUGAGAUCACUACGGGCAGCAGAACCCAACAGCUUCGCCAGAUACGAUUUCGAAGAUGAUGAAGAAAGCACCAUCUAUGCUCCUCGAAGGAAAGGGCAGCUGUCAGCAGACAUCUGUAUGGAGACAAUCGGAGAAGAAAUUUCAGAGAUGCGUCAGAUGAAGAAGGGGGUGUUUCAGCGAGUGGUGGCAAUUUUUAUCCACUACUGUGAUGUCAAUGGAGAGCCGGUUGAAGAUGACUACAUUUGACUGGUCCCUCCUAUUUCCCUGCUGUUUUGGCAGAGCCAGGGGCCGUACAGCUGCCAGAGAGGCCCCGGGGACUCGGGACUGCGGCUCAGUGUGUUGCAGGAAAUGUAUCAGGAACACUGAAGCUGUAUACAAAGAUUUGUACAUAAGGAGCUGUACAAAGACACUUCCUGAGUACCAACUGUAUAUCAUAUGUUUAUACAGUUUAAUUUAAAAGUUCAUUUUAAUGAAGGCAGAUCAUUGGAAGGAGUUCAUUUUCUUGACUUAGUUUAUAAAGUCACUGGCUGAGCCUCCAUUUACUAUAUUCUUCAUAAUCAUUGUCACCCCCUUAAAUCUGUGCCUUUUCUUCUCGAGCGAAGCAGUUUGAGUAAAUCUGUUGAAGAGUCUUUGUGUCUUGUGUGCUUUCUUUGUGCUACUAUUAAGCUGAAACCCUAUAGUCAGAGGUGGCUACAUGUUUCUGUACAAAAUUGUGGUGUUUUUUCUUUCUUGGUAUUAUAGUUGCCAUAUUUCUUAAAAUCAAGUAAAAAGACUCAUGAGUUUAUAAAACAACUCAGUUUUGAGAGAGAAAUGGGAAAGUUUCCAAAGCAUUUCUAGUUAUUUAUUUCCACAUUCAAUUGUGUACAUGCUUUAUCUUGAAUAUAAAAAUAAAAGUUUGCUAAAAACUUU
This is an RNA transcript of Myotis davidii, 4151 nucleotides long. It is a transcript of the gene named F-box protein 38, with no coding region annotated. The record is from RefSeq and is a predicted model, not a curated record. NCBI's taxonomy places the organism in Eukaryota, Metazoa, Chordata, Mammalia, Chiroptera, Vespertilionidae. The transcript is spliced from 22 exons.